This is a long non-coding RNA of Bubalus bubalis (water buffalo), 2641 nucleotides long. RefSeq lists it as uncharacterized. The transcript is spliced from 2 exons. Lineage: Eukaryota; Metazoa; Chordata; Mammalia; Artiodactyla; Bovidae. The record is from RefSeq and is a predicted model, not a curated record.
UGUGUCCUGGGCAGAUUAAGCUGAAGGGUUACAGUUUCUGUAAUACAGCCUUCUGCAAUUUGAACUCCAAGACAAUGUUUUCCUAUAACCAGUGUUCUGGCCACUCUUAUCAAAGGGAAUCAAGGAUGGUUCUUUAAAUAUAACCUCAAGUCUUAUCCUCCAGGACCAUGGUUUGAUGACCCGGACCUAGGAUGAAGAAUGACCGGUGCUUGCUGGAAAGCCUCAUGUUGUUGACAACCGAUAGUUAAAGUUACUGCCUGAGUCUUUGAUGCUCCAACCAAAGUUGCUCCUCUGGAGGUCGGGGUCAAGGUAACUGGGACCUAAAGACCCUGUGGACUUGGGAGUGGUGUCAGCCAGCUGCUAAGACAGAAAAUAAGGACUCUUUAAAAAGACCCCAUCCUUCUCACAUGAAGGAUUGUGGUCCGUCAUGGACCAACAAGUGAGAGUCAACCGAAAACCUGAAGAAAAAGUACAAGUCGGUGACCUCAAGAUCUGAGAGCAGGUUGAGAUGAGGUUUGAGGAAGUUUCUCCAAGUACGAAGUUGAGGAAAGAGCAUGGAGAAGAAGAGUGUCCUGAAGCACCACUGAUAAGGGUGCCCAGUGUGUGUGUGUGUGUCUCUGUAUGUGUGCAUGUGAGUGCACACAUACACUUGUAAUUUCCUGUGAGACAGAGGGAAGAACUAGAGAGAAGGCAGUUCUGCCAGCAGUCUAACCCACACAACCUAACCUUAAUAGAGUGGGGGAAAGAGGAUUAAGCAUUCCUCCCUUUCAAUAAUAUGACUUUGAUCUUCAUAAUCAGUUGUGAGGCCUCUACGAGAAACUACGAAUUUUGAUCCUUCAAAGCUGGGAGGUGAGACUCCUGUGGGACUUCUCAGUGGUGAGGAAGGUGGUGCAGGAAGCCAGUGUCUCCACAGGACAGCCUUUGCUAAUUAGGUAGAUAUCUGGAUGGACUCCUGGUUACCUGAAGACAAACCUGGAUAUUCCUCAUAUGACAAAGGGGCACUGAUCUUGGAAAUGAGCCAGAUUCCCUGACCAAGGAUGGAACUCAUGCCCUCUACACUGGAAACUCAGCAUCUUAACUACUGGACUGCCAGAGACCCCCAGGGAAGUCCCUCCCCUGUUCCAUUUUGAAGCAAUGUAAAUAUCCUCUAUCAGAGGAGUAGACUAUGAUUCCAUUAUGAAAUGUUAUGUGGAAACUAAUCUCAUAAGGGUAUAAGACUGUAGCAACAAGGAGGUCUAGGUAAGUGUCAUAAUGAAUGUCAAAUGAACAAAGCCAUAGAGGAGACACUCUGGGUCCACCCAUGUCUCUUAAGGGUUUUCAGUUAUUCUAACCAAUUUCCAGCCACCAGGCUGAACAUCUCUGAAUUGGGGAGCUCUUCCCCAAGCACCCCCAAUUAUGGACAUACACACAGUUGAGAUUACCUCCUCUUUUCCACCCCACACCAGUCCUUAAGCAGUGGCCAUGGGUAGUCGAUGUACAAGUACCCUACCUCCAGUACCCCUUUGAGCUGCAUGUUUAGCAUUGUGUUCCCAAAUUUCCUUGGGGAUUAAGCUUCUAUUGCUUGAUAAGGGUGCUCUUUCUUGGCUUCUCUCCUUCACUGUAUGGAUUCCCCAUGCUCCCAGUGGUAUUGUCUGUACUCCUCAAAUAAACCACCUUUGCAUGACUACUUUGUCUCAAGAUCUGCAGCACAGGGAAUUGUAGACACAUCCCUGUUUUUCCCUAUAGACGAUGUGUGCACACACAGGCCAGGAAGAAAGGGAAAAACAACAAUGGCAGGAGUUUGACUGAGGAUGGUGAGAGUAUGUUAGGUUUUUCUUCCUUCUGUUUUCUAAACUUUAUGUCCAGUUGUUAUAUGAGUGUAAACAUUUUUUGUUUCAUAUUUUUAAGCAAUAGUAAGAACAUCUGUGUUCUUAUUCCCUCAAAUUGCCUCAAAUUCCCAUGCCCUAGGUUGCAAACAGACAUGAGAAAUAGCUGUUAAGGAAAUGGGUUGUCCACAGCACAGUGUGUCGUAAGGAAUGCAAGGGUGAUGGCACAGGGGCCAGUGAGGUUUCUGAAGCCAGAGCAUGACCUUUUAGAAACCAGACCUCAGUCUGGUCCACAGGUAACAUCUCCACCAAGUCAAGGUUUGCCUUGUUCAGUGCCCGAAGUACAGCAGCGUCUAUUUUUUUCAAAGAGCAAACUGGAUAAAUGCAAACAUAUUGUAUUCAUUCCUUUUUUUUUUUUUUCUAAAUUCCAAAUAACUAAGCAUUCUCUUUGGAAAGUUUCUUCUCCGGUAAGCAAAAUCAUUUGUGUUUUAAAAUUGUGGUCUGUAGUUUAUAUGAUCAACUUUUAUUUUACUGAGCUGUCUGCCAUGUAAAACCUAUUUUUAACCUGAAGAGGUGCCUCUAGAUACAUAACAGCAGACUGUAGAAGUGAACAUUUUACUUUAUUUUCCCACCAUUUUCUUCUUUAAAACUUCUGAUGGGAAAAAAAAAAAAAACACACACACACAAUACAUACAGGCAUGUGCAAUUGAUUCUGUCGUAAAGGGAAUUUAGGCCCCAAACCAAGAGCUAAAGGGAUUGUAAGGUGUAAAGCCAAACUAUUUGGACAUGUCAUCUCUGAGAUAAAUACUGUACCCAACAAUUUUUUUUGAAAUGGG